Molecule: long non-coding RNA, 2460 nt
Organism: Mustela lutreola (European mink)
Lineage: Eukaryota; Metazoa; Chordata; Mammalia; Carnivora; Mustelidae
Exons: 2
Source: RefSeq, a predicted model, not a curated record
GAUACAGCCGAGGGGAGGCACCUACCUGAAGGGGCCUACUGCAAAGUUUCUAUGGACAACCAGGUGCAUGAUUGAAAGACUUAGGGGUCUUCCCCUGUGGGGGACAUUCCUGGCUUAAAAGUGUUCAAGCGGUGAAGCGGGGCGAUAUCCCAGGUGUGAUAGCAUGAUCUCAGGAUCCCGGGGGUCCCCAGAAGACCAGCUGGGGCCCGAAUGCUUCUGAGUUCCCAGACAUCAGUUAGGGAGGAAGGCUGAAAACCAGGAAGCUAGGUCCCGGCUUUCUGCUCUGGGAAGCAAGCUGGGCCCAGAUACCACCUUAUUCCAUCCACAAAGUCUCACACAUCUCGCCAUUCUGGUUGCAAUGAAGAAAUGGACUGUACACCAGAAUUUCAUACCUGUGGAUUAUGCCCAGGAUUUAAGGUGCUAGAGAAACAUUUUUUGACAUAAGGAUGGAGAAAUGGUUCCUCCACAACAGCUACUGGAAGGACAACUGAAGGAUUAUUUCAGCACAGGAAGUCAGACGUGCAGGAGUAAAUGGGAAACAAGGAGCCCGGUGGACCACGGGAGGCCAGAGGCGGGAACCGGCUCCCCUGGCCGCGCGCAGGAGGGAUUUCAGCGGAAGCUGUCGAGCGACUUUCAUAAAUGAAGCUUUAAAAUGACCUUCUUAAAAGAAGAGUAAAUCCUCGGUUUCCGUGUGACUCUGCAGACACAGCCCGGAGGUCAGCCCUGGGGGCCCGGAGCAGGCCGGUGCGUGUGGGUGGUCGCAGGCGGCCGGUGUCCAGCCUCGGGCCGCGCCAGCGCCGCAGGACGAAAACGCUCGUGUGGCCUUUCCCUGCGCCCCGACGGAGCCCGAGGCCGUUGUGAGGUGCUGGCCGCGGGCAGGACGGACGCGCCCCCCCGCCCCCCCCACCGCGCCUCCAGGGGCCCGGGCAGCUCGCGGUCAUCUGGAUGUACAGUCUCUGUUGUCUCUGGUUUUAAAUAACAAGCCGCUUAGAACCUGAUUUUUACGCAGAUUAAAUUCAUUGUCACUUCGCUUUGAUCUUCAGCAAUAUUUAUAAAUUGAGUCAUUGUAAAGGUUUCCUCAUUUGAUCCAGUUUUAUACGAACUCUGGUUUGUUUGAGUCCGAUGUCCAGGAAGAAACAGGACACCUUCACUUGGAGAACCGGGCUCGGGCCCAAGAAAGCUUUCCUACAAAUAACGUGUUUUUCUAGGAGCCUCCGGGUGGAGACACAGGGGCUCCUCCUGUGGUCCGGCACCACCUGCUGCUCAGUGGCAACUGUCCUGCCUCGGGAGGCUCAGGCCACCAACUGGAAAACACAAUCUCACCAUCUUCACUUUUGCUGAAUCCAUUAAGUGUAAAAGCCAAUUAUUUUUCUUUUGGAAACUAUUUAUUGGGCAGAAAUACUUUUUAUUGAGUAAUUUUGGUCUGCCACGCCUAUAUUUGAUUUUGCUAUUUGUGCGCUUUUGUUCCUAAACACAGGAAAGACCAAAGGUGCUCUCUCUUUGUGGUCUGGGGCAAGAGCUCAGAUACACCCAGAUUGAUGGGCGCCAGUGAACGUAGGAGCAUCUUUUCUGGCACCCAAGCAGUCAGAAGUGUUUUUGUGGUUUUGGUUGUUUUGUUCUUUUUUUUUUUUGUUUUUUUUUUUUUUUGUUUGUUUGUUUUUUACUACAGUAAGUAUUAUAGAACCAAAAACCUAAUGCUACUUACUAUCACAAUGAAAUGUUCUUUUACUAAGUUAUUGCUGGUUAUUGAAUAUCUUGUUGAGUACUGGGAUCUGUUACCAAGAAGGAAAUUACGUUUCUUACCAUGUUUGAGCUAAGCAAAUGUGAAUAAUUUUUUAAAGAAAGAAAAAAAAAAGAAGCCUCCUCUGAGACUUGUAUUCUGUUGUUCAUAAUUUUAGGAGUUCUGAGUUUCCUGGAACAGCUGCUUGAGUGUAUUUUUGUACCCAUAUCUUCACUUCUGCCUUUUUCUUCUUAAAUUAAAAAAAAAAAAACUAUGAUGUAUUACACAUUAAAGUUUUCUUGGUUUUAUAUAUCAAAGAAUAAAAACUUUUUUGUUACAUUUAAAAAAAUAAAAUAAAAUCAAUUUAAAAAAUACAAUAUCUCAACUUCUAUGAAGGCAGGAAUUAAUUGUGUGUUGGUUUGACACUUUGCAGAACUUAAGAUACACAAACAUUUAAAACAACAGCAAAAACACUUUAAUAAAUAUGCGUCUUAUCUAGGUUUUCUAAUUUCUUGAAGUGUAAUUAUUGUUAGUAUGCCCUUAUAAUCCUUUUUAUUUCUAUGUGGUUGGUAGUGUUAUUCCUCCUUUGUUCCUGAUUUGACUUGAGAUUUUCUUUUUUUAAUAUGGGCAUUUAUAGCUGUAAGUUUCCCUCUAAGCACUACUUUAAUUAAGUCCCAUCAGUUUGGGUAUAUUUUGUUUAUGUUUUUAUUCAUUAAAAUAUUUUCUGAUUUCUCUUGGGA